AAUCAACGCUGGCGGCGUGCCUAACACAUGCAAGUCGAACGCGAAAGCCCCUUCGGGGGUAAGUAGAGUGGCGUCCGGGUGAGUAACACGUAGGUAAUCUACCUUCGGGUGGGGAAUAACUCGCCGAAAGGCGAGCUAAUACCGCAUAAUGCAGCGGCACCUAAUGGUGAUUAGUUGUUAAAGCGGGGGAUCGUAAGACCUCGCGCCUGAAGAGGAGCCUGCGGCAGAUUAGCUAGNGGUGAGGUAAUGGCUCACCAAGGCUUCGAUCUGUAGCUGGUCUGAGAGGACGGCCAGCCACACUGGC
RNAcentral lists this ribosomal RNA (304 nucleotides) under uncultured bacterium. RNAcentral's name for it is "bacterial SSU rRNA". It matches the Rfam family "Bacterial small subunit ribosomal RNA", at positions 32 to 317 of the family's 1533-position model. The record is from RNAcentral.